UCUGUUUUUCUCCUCCCCCAUCUGGUCUGAAAAGACAUAAUAGGACCGAUCCCUAUGGAUGAGGCAUACCCUUUGACGAGAGUUGUGACGUGAAUUAUCUAUUAGGGGUCACUUUUGGCUAAGUAUCAUGUGGUUAUAAACUAUCUGAUAGGACCACUGUGGUUUGCAUGGCUGUGGUCAUAGAUCAUGUCAUGGUUUUGCAAGCUGUAAAUGUGUUGUGGCACACUGCUGUUAUAUAUCUGAUCUGGUCAUUCCACAUGGGUAGUUAAAAAUUCAUAUCUACCGAAGCAUGACAUGAAAAUUUGAGCAUAUCAUGAUUAAUUUAAUUUUCUUUCUUAUCAGCAUGAUUGAAUUAAUUGUUAUGACUAUAACAUGAUGGAUCUAAUGUAAAGUAAGAAAUGUCUCUGACAUAACCCCUGAUGGUGAGUGUUAAUGACAUAAUUAUUCACUUUUAAAAUCUUAUGAUGUUAUUUAAAUAUUGUUUUCCUCAUUGAGUAUAUGGAAUUCAUCUCUUUCCAUACCCCCCAGAUGAGGAAGAUAAUGAGGAACUAAUCGCUGACCUACCCCUUGAAGUCUAUGAGUAUUCCGUAGAUCCAU
Molecule: long non-coding RNA, 597 nt
Filed under: Carica papaya (papaya)
Lineage: Eukaryota; Viridiplantae; Streptophyta; Magnoliopsida; Brassicales; Caricaceae
Description: long non-coding RNA (CPAP_LNC013911)
Source: RNAcentral